UUGAGAUUGAUAAAAUCAAUAUAUAGUAAUAAAUAAUAUCACAUCUAAAAGAAAUUUUAGUGAUAAAUAUCACAUUCAACUGAUUUGAUAUGAUGUAUAAUAUUUAAAUCAGAUUUGUCCCCCAUGAACUAGCUCUCAAAUACCAGAAUUUAUUAUUUGGUUGACCUUGUUGUUAUAUGAUAUCCAGAUAUCUAUUGGAUAGUAUUAGCGAUAGAAGAUAUAUCAGUCUUAAUUAUCAAAACAGCUAGGAUAGAUAGAGACACACUACUCAAUCAAAGAUUUAAGAAGGAGCUGGAGAUUUUACACUUGUACUACAUGUAUUUCUCUCUCUCUAUAUAAGCAUAUAUAGAGAAGAGAAAGGAAGAACAGCAGAGACGGCAUUGCUCCAUAUACUAGCUAGUGUUGUUCCUCUCCUAGGUAUAUAAUAAUAUAAUGGCACUCGUCAAGACGAGCAGCAUAACAAGGCCGGGCGUGCGUGUGUGUGGUGCCGUGAUUGCUGCUGUCGUUGUUGUGAGCAUGGUGCUGCCUGCUUGUUCCCUGUCCAACGACCUCGAAGAAGAAGAAGAAGAAGAAAUUGCUUGGUUGCAUGCAGCAGAUGAGGAAUUAGACGAGACGAUUUGCAACCCGGUGGUGGUGAAUAAUGGGCAGUGCGAUAUUGUGCGGUGCUCCAUAGAAUGCAUGCAGGAGGCCAGGAAGCAUCCUCGUACUUCGUGCGUGCAUGCCUCCUGCGACAGGCGUGUCCGUCCUCAGGAGUGCUGCUGGACUUUUCGCCACCGCCGUCACGUCGUCGUCGUUGGAGCGCAUCCGUGACUGCUCUAAUUCGUUAUUAUUACUUCAUGUAAUAAUUAAUUAAUGAAUCUCGCAAAAAAAAUAAUAAUUAAUUAUGAUCCGAUCAAUACAAAUUCAAUUCCAAUCCAAUCCAAUAAUAAUAAUAAUAAUAUUAAUAUUAUGGGUUGUGUUGUGCUCGCCUAGUACGUGUUGGUGUUUCACUCGGAAGCGGGCCGGGCCGGGAGCCCAGGACUCGUCGAUCGGGCGUUGGGGCGUGUUUGUUCGUCACCCACUGGGCCAGGAGCCCGGGUCUACCCCGGUACAGCCCAGGGCCUUAUUCCUCCGCUCCGGCCGGCGAGUCCCCGGAUGCGAUGUAUUGGAGCCGUUGGGGCAGGCGACGUGGCACGGGCCCAGUCCAAUCCUAUACCACAGCUAGCGCUAGCAUAUAUUCUCGGACCUUUCGCUAUUUUACCUGUGAGUUCAUCUGUCAUACAGGUUUAGAGUUAAGAUUUUUAGAUUAUAUAUACGAAGCGUAGGUACAAUUUAGAUGCUCAACUCAAAACUCGUUAGUUUGCUUAAUUUGUGACUACCUCGGCUUACCUUGUUAUAAAAAACGAGCCGAGCCAAACUAAAAUUUUAGAUCGUUAGCUACAACAAGUUAACUCGCAAGCCAAGCGAGUCAUAGUUUUAGAAAAAAAAAACUAUCAUAUUUUAUAUUAGUUUUGUAUUACCUCAUGUUUUGCAACUUAUAUGUUAGGUCAUAUAAAUAUUUAGAAAAAAUUUACAUAACUCCUCAAAUUUAGGGUUAUAUUUUAUCGCUCAAACUAUAAAACCGGAUAUUCUAUACUCUGACCUUUCAAAGCUGGUCAAAUAAUGUGCUACAUCGCCUUGGCACGAGAGUUGCCACUUGCGCACGAACGCCUCAUCGCGCGGCCGCUCGAACACCACCAUAAUGCUCAGCGGUUCAGGCACUACGGUUAGCAGCUUAUCAGCCAAAUCUGCUAGACAUUGUUAUCAGCCAAACGAACAAGGCGAAUAUAAAUAAAAAGCCAAAAGACAAGAAAAAUUGCACGAGGUAACGGUAUACGAUGAGAAAAAACUUUAAAAAGUGUAUCUUGUCAUGCAGUAACUGUAUACGAUGAGAAAAUUCUUUAAAAGUGUAUGGCCUUGUUUAGUUCCGAAAAGUGAAAAGUUUUCGGCACUGUAACAUUUUCGUUUGUUUUUGAUAAAUAUUAUCCAAUCAUGGAUUAACUAGGAUCAAAAGAUUCGUCUCGUGAUUUACAGCUAAACUGUGUAAUUAGUUUUUGUUUUCGUCUAUAUUUAAUAUUUCAUGCAUGUGCCACAAGAUUCGAUGUGACGGAGAAUCUUGAAAACUUUUAUCUUGUCAUUACUAAAAAAAUGGUUUACCGGAACUCCAUCGUUUCCGUUUCCGGUUCGGGCAUGGAUUUCCGGACUUGGUUCACAGAGCGAAGUCACCGACCAGAGCGAGUGGCGGCACUGUAGCAUGGGAUCUGAACCGCCCAUCUCAAAACACACAGUCGAAAAUAAUCCAAAGUCGGGCAUGCAUCGCUGCUGCGCGCGCCGAUCUCGGCAUUUCUUGGUGGGGUGGCGACGACUCCCCCUGGGCGAUCACCGCUUUACUCCAGCCAGGUGCCCAGGUCGUCGAGGGGCCCUUCGCCGGCGACGGGCACCCACUUGGUAUGCACACCCCUUCUUUCCCCUUCCUUCUGCUGUGCGAAAUCGACUCAAACCCUAAGGUUUGUUUGGCGAUUUUGUUUCCGAUCUGAUCAAAUUACAAGUGUUUAUAUACAUGUAUUAUGCUGUGCGUGCCUACUGACUUCGAUUUUUUCUUUUUGCAAAGAUUAUGGAGAAGAUUGGGUUGCCUUCGAUGCUGUCCGUGCGAGGCGCCACCUGGGAGGUGGAUGCACCCCACUGCCAGGGCUGUUCUGUUCAGUUUACCUUUUUUACUAGGAAGGUAAAUCAAAUUCGCCUUGCAGCGAUGGCUCACCUCCUGCUUUUUUUUCCUGCUUCGUUUGUGAAAAGUGUAGUUUAGUCCUCCUUCGUAGUCGCUUAAAACUAUCAUGCUUGAUGCAACUAUUUGUUUCAUGUGAUUCCUAAUGUUUUGGUUCAGUUACUUGUGCUCCUUGUUUACUUUACAUGCUCCACAGCCAGCGAAACUCACCUGCAAAGCAAAUUGAUAAAUGAACUUAUUUAUUAAUAAAACCAUCUGCUGGCUGUGGAAGAUACUGACCUUGAUGUUUUCUCGGUCUCAUGUCUCAUCACAGAUGAUAUUGUCGCCCUAGUUCUAGUUUUUAUCAUGACCUUACCUCUCUAGAGUUAAUUCGCAACUGACACUCAUGAAUCCCUUUGGCCGUGCUUGCCAUGAAAAUUGUUUGCCGCUGCUCAUGGCUAGAUCACAGUUUGACCGGAGCUCAAUUUAUUUUUGCUUCAAACCUUGCUGUGUGGGGGGAUCAAGAUAUGUUCUCCAUUGUUUUUCCUUUAGUCAUUUAUUGCUGGUAAAUAUGGUAUUACGGUCUAUCAUGAAGUUAUGAAACUCAAAUCUACUGUUUAGAAAUAUCUCACUUGCUUGCUUGAGUACUUAAUAUGCUUGCGUUCACCAUUUCACGGUGUUUAUGAACAUGCCAUUGGCCAUUCAGUUAAACUGUGAACUCUGUUGUAACCUUAUGGUCUUAUAAGGGGCUGUGUUAACUUUUGGAUAAAUUGAUAUAGCACCAUUGCCGAAGAUGUGGGGGCGUGUUCUGCAACAGCUGCACCCAGCAAAGGAUGGUUUUACGUGGACACCCUGAUUCACCUGUUAGAAUCUGUGAUCCUUGCAAAAAGCUUGAGGAAGCAGCACGCUGCGAAUUGAGAUAUGGACACAAAAAUAUAGCUGCGAGAUCUGAUAUGUGUUUUAGUGAAGAACUAUGAUUUGGUUGAUGCUUGAUACUGCUGUGAAUAUUGAAUUAGUGUAUUUAUGGAAAUCGUAAUAAACUGAUAAAAGUCAAGGCCUUGUUGAUAAAAAAAAAAUCAGACUAUCAGCGUGGAUUCUAUUGAAGAUGCAAUUUAUGUAUUAAUUUGGCUAUCAUCAUCAUAUAGAGCACAUUUGAUCAUGGGGUGGUCGUGUACAAAGUUCGGGCUGGUUCAUACUAUUUCAGAUUCUUUUUAAAAACAUUUAACUAUGUUUUAUGGGAGCUAUAUCUAUAUGCUCAGAAAUAGGGAUACAUUAUUGGCACUAUACAUCUAUACCCUAAUGAAUAAUAAUGGUGCUUGCAGCUUGUCACUAAUGAAGAAUUAAACAUUUCUGGCAAUAUCUUGCUCUUUCUCAGAAAUUAUUUUAUUCUAUGGUUUAUCCUUUGUUAGAAGCAAGUGCCUAACAGCCUAAUUGGUUGCAAUGAAAUAUUUUUGGUCUUCGAUAGAUUCUUCGUAGUUCUGUUUUGUAUGCAGUAUUCUGUAUCACUGUAUUGCACAUACAAAUUUGUCAAAAUAGGAUCUAUGGGAGCUAAAAAUCUUGUGGAAUUAUGUGCGGAAGAUCUAACUAAAAAACCCUUUCAUUCUGUUUCCACAGCUACCACAAAAGCAACCACAAAACCAGAAGAUGAAAUUCUAAGUGAAAUUCUUGGAGGUGAUGGAGUGCAGAUCCAGGUUUCUAGCAAGGAAUCUCUGAAUUCUGAGUUUUCUGGGAUACGUGCAAUCAGUGCCAGUUCCUCCGGAUCCAGUUCGAGAAGAACUACUGCUAAUUUGAAUAUGGACACAGAUGGAGAUGAGAAGCUUUCUGCUGAAGCACAUGAUUUUGAUAUCAACAACGCUGCAGCUGGUUUUACCCCAGAGGAGUUGCGCCAGCAAGCUGUAGAAGAGAAGAAAAGGUACAAAACUUUGAAAUCAGAAGGUAAACCGGAUGAAGCACUGCGGGUUUUUAAGCAUGGUAAAGAACUUGAGAGGCAAGCUGCAGCGCUUGAAUUAGAAUUGAGAAAGAGCCGGAGAAUGGCUACAAAAGCUCCUAAUGUAGCUGCUGCACUUAGUACCCCAACGACUGAUAGUUUUGAUGAGCCUGAAACAAAAAGGUAUUUAGCUGGGAAAAGGGUCAAGAAAGAAAAGAAUGAUCUUGCCUCUGAGCUCAGAGACCUAGGCUGGUCAGAUGCAGACCUUCGUGAUGAAACGAAGGCAGCCCCUAUGAGUGUGGAAGGAGAGCUGUCACAGCUUCUUAGAGAGGUGGCCCCUAAAUCAUCGGAGGGCAAGAAAACAGGUGGUAUCAAUAAAUCUCAGGUUAAUGCUCUGAAGAGGCAAGCCUUAUUGCUGAAGCGGGAAGGUAGACUUGCUGAAGCAAAAGAAGAGCUGAAGAAGGCUAAAAUCUUGGAAAAACAACUAGAGGAACAGGAGAUUCUGGGUGAAACAGAAGACUCGGAUGAUGAUUUGGCUGCCAUUAUUCAGAACAUGGAUGAUGAUAAGCAUGAUGGCAUAUGGAUGGAUGAUCCAAACAUCCCUGCUUUUAACUUUGAACAAAUUCUCGGUGCCUCUAAUGAUCUUGCCAUUGAUGGGCACUUUGAUGUUACGGAUGAUGACAUGAACGACCCAGAUAUGGCUGCUGCCCUAAAAUCAUUUGGCUGGAGUGAGGAGGAUGACAAACAAUUGGAACAUCAUGAGCCUGUUUCUUCUUCAAAUCAAGAUGUGCUAAAGGAGCAAAUGCUUGCUCUUAAAAAAGAAGCUGUUGCAAACAGAAGGUCUGGUAAUGUUGCAGAAGCCAUGACCUUGCUUAAGAAGGCAAAACUACUUGAGAAGGAUAUGGAAACUGAAGAGCCAGAAUCAAAGGUUGCUUCUCCAGAGGGGCAGAAAACUAUGCUUGCAGAAGAUAUCACUUUUGCAGGGACGACUGCACGACCUGUAUUGGCACAUCGAAGUAAGCUAGCAAUUCAGAGAGAACUGUUGGCUCUGAAGAAGAAGGCACUAGCUUUGAGGAGGGAAGGGAAGGUGGAUGAGUCGGAGGAAGAGCUGAAGAAAGGUAGCGUUCUAGAAAAACAGCUUGAAGAAUUUGAGAAUGCUUCCAAACCUGUAGCAAAGGAAACCAGGAGCUUUGCAUCUAAUCCCCCGUACAAGGUUGAACCCCCAAGUCUCAAUCUUGCUGAUGAUGGAUAUGAAUCUGAGGUUACGGACAACGACAUGCAAGAUCCAGCAUUGUUAUCCAUGCUGAAAAAUAUGGGGUGGGAAGAUGUUGAUACUGAUUCUGCAAAAAGAAAUGACAAACCAUUGGUUUCUUCACAUUUAGUUAUCCAGAAAUCAUCAAAAGCUAAGGUUCAGCUUCAGAAGGAAUUGCUUGGUAUAAAAAGAAAGGCUCUUGCACUCAGACGGGAAGGGAAAAACAUAGAAGCUGAGGAGGAACUGGACAAGGCUAAGGUCUUGGAGCAGCAACUUGCAGCGAUCGAAGAAUCAAAUAGCUCGACUGCUAGUCAAGGUGUUACUAAUGCUGGACAUCAGAUUAUUGAAAAUAAAUUAGAUGUUCAGCAUGUCUCUACUAUUGAUGCAACUGUACCCACAUCUUCAGUAACAAAAACAAUGAAAUGGGACGAUAUGUUGCAGGCACAUGGAUCUGAACCUGGUAUAUCUGUGGAUACUCUGGGUGAUUCUCCAAGCAAACUGCAGGUUGAGACAACUGGUUCUAAACAAAUUCAUGUGGCAAAAGAAAGUAGUGAUGGAGCAUCGUCAGCCUUGUCACGUCCAUCUUAUACUAAUUCUCUGGGAUCUGAAAAAGGGUCACAUUCACCUUCUGAACUACGUGUUCGUAAAGAGCCUCACAAAACACAUGGAGAUGAUAUUCUUACAGAUGAGAUCUUAUUUCAUAAGAGAAAAGCAGUUGCCUUCAAGAGAGAAGGGAAGAUGGCAGAAGCUAGAGAAGAACUGAAACUGGCAAGACUCUUAGAAAAACGCCUUGAAGGUGCUCAACAAGACAACAUGGAUGGUGAUGAUAACUUCAUUGCUCCUGCUGGGGGACAGAGCAUCGUGGCCCAACAACGUGCUAGUUCUAGCAUCCAAACUGAUGGUGUGGCUUCUGCCCCUCCUGCACAGGCGAGCAAGUCGACACAACCUCAGAAAGUAAUGUCCAGCCGAGACCGUCUUAAAAUUCAACGUGAAUCCCUAGCUCACAAGCGCAAUGCCCUCAAGUUGCGGAGAGAAGGAAAGAUUGCAGAAGCAGAUGCAGCAUUUGAACUGGCCAAGGCGCUAGAGAGCCAAUUGGAAGAGUCAGACAACCAAGGUUCAAGCUCCGGAGUCAAGUCAGGUGAACCAAAUGACGCGAUGGUGGAGGAUCUUCUUGAUCCUCAAAUCAUGUCCGCCCUAAAAUCCAUAGGUUGGAGCGACAUGGAUUUAUCCAUGCAAUCUUCUAGUACACAACCUCCUAAGCCCCCGCAGACUUCAAAAGGUCAGCCUACGCAGAAAGUGGAAGUGAAGCCAGCCAUUACAGUGGCCAGCAAGCCUCAGAACGAGAGAAGUCAGCUUGAAGAACAGAUCAAGGUGGAGAAACAGAAGGCACUCAACUUAAAGCGGGAAAGGAAGCAGACUGAGGCCUUGGAGGCCCUUCGCUCAGCAAAGCGACUGGAGAAGAAGUUGUCCUCACUUAGCUAACUACUACCAGAUUGUUUGUCUUCGAUGUGACAAACUAACAUUACAAUUGAAAACCCACUGAAUGUGGCCGUGAUAUAUGUAGAAUCAUAGAUAAUAUAAACUUCAAUUCAAGGCAUUUGUAUUUUGAUUGGUCCUUGGCAGUUUGUGUGAUCCUUUUGGACUCCACUAGUAACUGGUUUGUGAAUCACAAUCAAGCAGCGAUAUGGGCUUACAUAGUUGCAUUUGCAUCUAAAGUGGGCAGAACUUAUGCGUGUCAUGAAGAGACUGAGGUUUGAUGCAGAGUCAAUGUUGUGGUUUAGGGCACAUUGAGCCAAAUGUACAUAGAUUUUGCGUACAUUUACAAAACUUUGAGGCAGCAUUUGCAUUUCAUUGCUGAAGCAUAUUCUUGCUUAUCUGUGCCCUUGAAAUCUGACCCUGCAGAAAGUGUUAUGUCCUGGCCUUCUGAAAGCAACUGUACUUUCGACCCAUGUCAACUUGCUGUACCUCUUGAGGCAUCAGAGGAUACAUGCCAACCACCUAAUUAUUUCGCCAAUAUGCCAAUUCUCAUUGCAGUGGCUGGUGGCUCAAAUAGUAGUUGCUGUUGGUGGUAAGACAUUCAAAUUUAUGUACUCAUACUCACUAGUACAAUUGUGUUUCUUACAUGCAAAGUUGAUGGAGUGAGACGUUUCUAGUCACUAAUAAUUUUUCCUCUGUGAUUUUUCACAUGCAGGAUUGCUAGCAGCUAGCAUGCCAAAGGAGGAAUUAAGUGACUGAAUAAUCAACCUGGCCAGAUCCAUACAGCACGCAUCAAUAGGGAGAACUUAUGUUGUUGUUGUUGACCCAAUGAAGCAGCAGUUGGUCGCAAACCUGAGAAAUGGGAAGAAUUGCAUGAAGAGUCAAGAUCUUGUUUAAGGCCUAGUGGAGUUCAGGACAACUCUGGAGGAGAUUGUUUUGAGGAAAAGAAAGCUGCACAAGGAUUAGGUUCUUUUCUCCCUGACAACCUCCAUUAAUGUUUACCUCUGCUGUUCUUCUGAGGGUGUGUGUGUGUUGUUAUUCUCUUCUUUCUAUGAAUGAUACGCAGCUGUGUGUUUGAGGAACUUUAAAAAGACUCUGUUUAUGUUUUACCAGCGCCAUAAAAAUUGGUCAGUCAGGCUACAUAAUAAACCAUUAAGUGUAGUUGACAGAUGGAGUACCAGUGCUGUUGCCCUCAUUAUGGCAUUAUGGCUUCAGGCAUUAGCUAAGUAGUGGAUAGCGGUAUAUUAGAACUUCUGAAAAUGACUGAAAUGUUUGGUGUUGUUUCACCUAGGUGUGUUUGUUGCUUCUGGGAGAGGAGGGGGGGGGGGGGGGGGGAGGAGGAGGAGAGGAGAGAACUUCUGUUUGAGUUGCGUCAACGAACUAAGUUAUGUGAUUUGUUGAGGUUGCAUUAGUUUAUACUGUUGCUUAAUGUUUUUUUUCCAGAAACAAAUAUGUUGUUGUUCCAAAUUAAGUAUACUAGUUUUUAGGUCCAACCACGUGCAAUUUGGAUGCACAAAUUGUCUUAAUGGAUAGCUGAUACUUGAGGUAGCUGCUUACUGAAGAUGCAUACUUUAGACUUUUAUAAUUGUCUGUCGUUUGUGUGCUUAGUAAGUCAGCUUUGGAGAUUUGCAUGUAGGACGUUGCUUGAAGCAAAUUCUGUUGUGAACUGGCAGUAGUGGACUUCAUAGCAGCCGACUGAAAUGACUGUAUGCUAGUGGUUAGCAUGCAUAAGAUGGAUUUAAUUGUGUUUCAAAUUAAACCUGUGGCUGCAGUGAACAAACUUAUGUAAUUUCGAAUUUCUACUUAUUGCAUUGGUGUAUAGUGGCGCUUAAAUUUGCGCUGCAUAAGAAUAUUUUUUGUUUCAAGCUUCAGUCACUUGCAGUGGCAGGCACAAACCGUUGAUCCGCUGUUGCUUAUUAGUUGAUAUACGGUGUUACUUAUGAAGUGACCUGAGAAUUUCCUCACUUGCUAUUUGGCUUUCCGCCAGGUGCAUGCAUCGCUGAUUCGCUGCAGAAGUUGGGGGAAUACACCGAGAAGCAAUGAGGCAGCACACAGGUUGUGGAGCUGUCCAUGGAGACGGGAGAGGAUUCCGGCUCCACCAAGGCCUGUCAUUCUGUCACGGCGUCACGCCAUAGCUGACUGCUAGGGAUGAAAACGGAUCGGAUACGGACGGAUAUCACCGAUAUCAUAUUUGUUUUCACAUUUCUGGUCGGAUUCGGAUUCGAAUACGGAUAAUAUCAAUUAUGUCGGAUAAGUUAUGAUUGGAUGUCGACAUCGUAAAUAUACGAUUUAAGUAUUCGGAUACGGAUACGGUAUCGGAUGUUAAACAUUCGGACUCGAAUACGGACAGAUCUGAACCUCUCUAAACGAAUUCGGUCUCGAAUACGGUCGGAAAAUAUCCGUACCGUUUUCAUCCCUACUGAGCGAGUGGGAGCCCGGCGAGUAAGGGGUGGUUGGCCUGGUGGGCUGUUGUGGAGUAUAUAUAUAACAAAUAAAUAUAUAAAUAAAUGUCGAUGGUGCUGUUCGCCUAUCUUUGCAUGUAUCUUUGCACAAUAGCUGGAGAUCUGCAUCUGAGGGAAAGUUGAAGCAAAUUUUGCUGUGAACUAGUAGCAGGGUUUAUAUCAACUGUCUGAAUGUUAUUGCCAAGCAUCAUAUCAUACAAAUAUAAUUUGUCUUUCAAACUUGUGGUUGAGUUACCUCAAUGAACUAAGUUAUGUGAUUUGUUGAGGUUGUAUUAGUUUAUACUGGUUUCUGAGAUAAUAUACCUGCCUACCGAUUUCUGUAACAUCAAUCAAUUCAUAUGUUUGCACUCUGCACUGCAGUCAUGAAGAAAAUGAGAACUGAAAUAGUGAAUUCUGGAAAAGAGAAAGGGAAUGAAGAAAAUGAAAAGUGAAUGGAAUGAAAGAUGACGAUCAUGUCCCGGCCCAUCGUAAUUUCCUUGUCCUGUUUCAGCGGCUCGGACGUUUCUGCCAAAUGCCAACGUGUCCGGCCGCGCUUGGCGUCGUCACCAACAACACAACAGGACGGACUCCUCCAUUGAUGUCCCGUGAAGCUCGCACGUCCCCACACCCAUGUCCACCUCUCCUCUCCUCUCCUCUCCUCUCCACUCCCAUAUAUAGACUCCACCACACGCACGUCUCAUUGCAAGGACGACAUUCCCCAAAGCCAGCACUCACAAAGAGCAAAAAAAAAAAAAAAAUCACCACCCUGCAACUGCAAUAAUGGCCCAGACUAGCAUGAGGAUGGUGGCGCUGGCCCUGGUGGCCCUCCUGGUGGUGGCGGCGGCGUCGGUGCCCGCCGCCACCGCGUACGGCUGCUACGACGACUGCUACGAGCGCUGCGCCAACGGGAAGGACGACCCCGCCUGCACCAAGAUGUGCAACCAGGCGUGCGGCACCACGGAACAGGGCAAGCCCGCUGCUGCCGCCGGCGGCUUCCCGGCUUGAUCUCCCACGCAUUAUUUCAUCGGUUCAUCAGCUCCAUAAUAUAUAUGUAGUAUAAUCCCUGCUCCGUCAGCCCACAUUUGAUUUUAUCUUCCUCCUUUGAUUUCUCGACCCCAUUGAUUUUUUCUUCCCCCUCUUCUUCUUCUACUAUACUAUCAGUUUAUUAUUCUUGUGUUCAUGUCUCUGAUAUAUGAUUCGUUUUGUAAUUCCUGCAAUUUGCAAGUGAAAUGGCCUCUAUGAUUCAAGUUUCUUUUUAAAUGAUUAUUAUUGUGCCUCCGGUUUCAGUUUUGCUGUAUGUUUAACAGUAUGAACACAUCUCAAUCUGUUAGUACUACUACAUUCUGUCAAUCUCUGAUGCGAUGCGAUGGGAUGUCCCCAAUGGAAUGCAAUGCAAGAAACUAGCUAGCUAUAGCUACGUGAUGCCGCGCGCGCAUCCCCAUCCGGCCAUCCCGACGGGAAUGGGGGAUCAGGAGGAGGCCGGCGGCGGCGGCGGGAAGGGCACCUCCAGGAGCCCUUCCAGCAUCAGGAUGACGCUCCUCAUGGCGGGCCUCGCCUGUGGCUCCGCCUGCGCGCACCACACCGCCACCUUCACCGCCCGCUCCACCUCCGCGGCGUCCACGACCUCGUCGCCGCCCACCACCCGCCACACCUCGCCGCGCACCAGCCACUCGUGCGCGCACUCCAUGAGCGUCCGCUCCUCGCCGGCCUCCUCCAGCUCCAUGCUCCGGCGGCACGUGACGAUCUCCAGCAGCACCACGCCGUAGCUGUACACGUCCGCCUUCACCGUCACCGGCCCGGUGCCGCGGUACCACUCGGGGGCCAGGUACCCGCGCGUGCCGCGGACACCCGUGAACGUCCGCGUCUGGUCCGGGAGCAGCAGCUUGGCCAGCCCGAAGUCGGCGAUCUUCGCCGUCCCCGACGCGUCCAUCAGGAUGUUCUGCGGCUUCACGUCGCAGUGGAUCACCCGGCUGUCCAGCUCGUCGUGGAGGUAGUGCAGCCCGCGCGCGACGUCCAGCGCGAUGCCCAUCCGCUCGCCCCACGCCGGCGGUCCGCCGCUGCUGUUCUUGAACAGACGCUCCGCCAGCGACCCGUUGCUCAUGUACUCGUACACCAGCAGCCGGUGGGCGCCCUCGUGGCAGAACCCCAGCAGCCGGACCAGGUUCCGGUGGCUCGUCCGCCCGAUGGCGCGCACCUCCCGCUGGAACUCCACCUCCCCAUCCUCCACCAUCUUCUCCAGCCGCUUCACGGCGAUCGCCUUCUCGCCGCCGUUGUGCGGCAGCGUGCCCCGGAACACCGUGCCGAACGCGCCGCGGCCCAGCGGCUCGCGGAAGCUCCACGUCGCGUGCUCUAGCUCCUGGUAGCUGUACGACCUCAGGGGUGCCUCCUCGUCCAGGGCCGCGUCCGGCUCCGCGGUCGUCCUCCGGUUCGUCAGGACCAGCCGCGCCGCCGCCACGAGCGCGGCUAGCGACACGAACGUCAGGACCCCGAUGCAGACCAGCGCGAUGGUGGCCGAGCGCCCGACGCCGCGGCCCCCGCCGCCGCCGAACGAUGGGCUUCCCGCGGCGUUCUUGACGAACAGAGUGUACCCGCCGCCCGCGCGGCCGUAUCGGAGCGGGAGCUGCUGCUUGGUGCAGGUGCCGUCGUUGCUGUUGAGCAGAACGGCGGCGCAGAGGCAGUCGGCCACGCACGCAGCCUGGCAGUCGGCGGCGCUCGUGCCGGCGCCCAGCACCCCGUACGGUGUGUCCGCCCACGACAUGUUCUGCAUCGGGACCAUGCUAGCAGUAGCAGCAGAACCAGCCGUGGCGCAGUCACCAGCGCUUGUGGUCUCGGUGCACCCGAGCGGCGCGUUGGCGGCGUCGAUGAAGCUGAACCCCGGCGGGCACCGGCAGUCGGGUUGCGCGUCGCCGCCGAGGACGCAGUAGCUGUUGAGCCCGCACGCUCCCUUCACGUGGCACCGGUCGUCCGGCCCGAUCCACUGGACACCGGUCGUCCACGCGCCUCCCGACGCGACGGCGUGGCGGUACAGGCGGAGGACCCCGUCGGGGUCGAGCGUCACCCGGUACAAGACCUGUGUCUCGCCGGGAGACCGCGGCGCCCCGGCCCGCGUCAGGUUCUUGGUGUAGUUGCCGUUGUUGCCGGUGACGUAGAGCACACCGGUGGCGUCGAGGCGCAGGGUGAGCGGGAAGCCGAUCUGGAACGUGCCGGUGGCCCAGUACGCGGCGUCGGCGGUGUUCUCCGUCUGGACCGGGUACAGGACGAGGUUGCCGUCGUUGAGCUGGUUGGUGAGGCGGUACCUCCCCGUGGCUCUGUCGGUGAGCGAGACGCUGGAGAAGAGCUGCGCGCCGGGGACGAGGUCCUGGCCCGGGAGCAUGGUAUCGGUGGGCGCGGCGGGGGCGGCGAAGGUGGACCAGACCACGGUGCCGUUGGCGUCGUAGAGCACGAAGCUGCCGUCGUCGCGCAUGGCGGCGGCGGCGGCCGGCCGGGGUGGCACCGCGAGGGUCCUGUCUUGCCCGUCGGCGGGGCCCGUCCAGACCAGGCGGCCGUCGUAGGUGAGCCAGAGCGCUCCGCCCGUGGACGGCGUGUCGUUGCGGUUGGCCGUCCACGUGACGGUGAUGUUGGGGGAGGUGGCGAGCCAGACGCCCACGGCGAGGCCCCCGUCCGUGCCGUAGAAGCCGAACGCGAAGCGGCCCGACGGGGACGGCCAGGCGGCGCCCGCGGCCGCCUGCAGCGAGGUCCCCGAGGUGAUUUUGGUGGCCAGCUGCUGCGCCUGCGCGGCGGCACCUGGCACGACGGGCACGGAAAGAAGCGUGGCGAGCGCGAGGGACAGCAGCAGGCGGAUGGGAGCCAUGGCGCGCGUCGGCGGCCAAGCUAGCUAAAUGAACUCCACCAUAUCGAUCUGCUGAAGGAGGAGGAGGAGAGGAAUGAUGAAUUGAAUUCAUUGACCGGUAGCAUGCUGAUAAGAUUUGCUUAGUAUAUGGUCCUUGCAAGUAAACUAGAGAUUUGGUUGUGUUAUUAGUCAAACAUCGUUCCAUCAUGCGUGUAUUAAGUCCAAGCUGAAUAUGAACGUACGUACAUGAGGAUAUAUUUAGGUCACCUUUCAUAUAGGCCAAAUUGGUUUAUUUUAUAGUAUUCAUACACUUGUAGUGGUAGUGCACUAUUAUGUUUAUAUAUCUGGAAAUGCAUGCUGGACGCAUGUGUUGGCAUUGGGUCUUAUGGCAUGUAAGGAUCGGGAUGGUCGUUUAAAUGGAUAGUGCAGUUCUUCUCUAAUGUAACUAAAUAAACUAAAUAAAAAAAUUAUCUAUUUAGUUUAUUAAAUUAUAUUAGAGAAGAACCGUGGCUAUCCACUAUCCCUAUCUUAAUAAUAGCAUGCAUGUCAGCAAAUUCAGACUGUAUUCUGAUUUCGAUGUUGCAUGGGAUUGUAGUAUCGACUUUUUUUUAGAUAUAUCGACCAAGACCAUAAAAAAGGAAGGUGAUGAAAUGACUUGGAUGAAACAUUAAUUCUUUUCUUCUAUUCUAGAAAGGGGCAGUGUACUGUACCAAGUUUGAAUAUAAUUAUAAGUUCAAAAAAAGUUUGAAUAUAAUUAUUCCUACGCGAAAAAAAGAAGGCAACAUAUAUAAUCUUUUUGGGUAUUUUUUCUAGCCAUAUAGGCUCGUACAACUUGGCACACACACAGAGGGCCGUCUCUAUAAUUUUGAGGGCCCUUGUGCAAGCAAAAGGGUAAGGACUUAUCAAAUAUUUUUUUGAUAUGUCAAAUAUAAAAUAUAUAGUACAACUAAAAAGAAUUAAUUUGCACCAUAUGUUUUAGUUUAUAAAAGGUAGUUAUAGUACAACAAAUAAAUAAGUAGAAUAGAAUUAGAAAUUUAGAACUCUAUCACGGAAUACUAAUAAUAAAAUUGGUGAAGUCUCGAUCAGCUAUGCCCUUACUCUUCCUGCUCUAGUGUCUAGUAGUGACAUAGUGUGCGGACGUGUGGUGUUUGCGUGUCAGGAAGCCAUAUUGUUGCAUUGGACGAUUGGGCAAUAGGACGAGAAGACGAUAAAGAGGAACAUUGAUUUGCUCAACUAAUCGAUCAAGCGAGAAUAUGAAGCAAUACUAGCAAUCGGUGGAUGUGGAUGAUGUACUGAUUAAUGGAUUUCUUUUUUUAGAUUAAUAGAUGGAUUUCUAUAGUGUCUAUAUAAGCCUAUAAAAAAUUAGAUAAAUCUAUAUACUGAGUAUUAUAUAUAUUACAUAUAUACUUAUAGGCCCCUUAGUGCCGUGGGCCUCCGGCCGCCGCACCGGCUGCCCACCCCCUAGAGACGGCCCUGCACACACACUACUACCCCCAUCUCUCUCUUCUCUCUCUUGGCAGGCACGUGAUGGGUCCCGCUCUUUGUAUCCCCAUGUCUUCUUCCUUUUGUCAAUGUGGUCACAUGACGUCUUCCACCUAUAGAUGCACUCUCUCCUUUUCUUAGAUGUGUCAUCUCCCUCUCGCUCUCCUUAUCUUUCCCCAAUCCUGGUGGACUUAGAAGAGGCUCAGGAGAGGUAGGCCGGCCGGACAGGCAGUGUGGACAAUCGGAGGACGGCGUUAGGGUUUCCAGCGGCAUGGUAGGAAGCAACCUAGCCAAGGAAAGGUGGGAACAUCUUUGGCCAUGGCGGCGACAGGAGGGGAGAAGGGAAAGAAGGACGUCGUCGUGGGUAAUACGGUCUCGCAAGAUCUCUACCGCCCACGGUGGCAGUGAGGAGCAGGGCAAACCCAGGAGGUGGGCGAUCGACACGGACGGUGGCGAGGGAUCCGCUAGUCGAGAGCGGCGUUUGUGGAAGGUAAGGGUGGGGGCAAGGACAAUGAAUGAUGGGCCGAACACAAGGAGGAAGACCAGCGGGAACGUAGGAGAAAGGCCAGAGGAGGAAGAAGGUGACUGUGUAUUCCAUAUGCCAAUCGCAUGGCCAGCUAUGCAUUAGCCACAUCUAAUCUUUUAUUUAUUUAUUUAUUUAUUUAUUUUGAAACUUAAUUUCUAUUGAUAUAUGCUCGGCAAAUCUGGUUCUCACGUAGCUUUAAUUUUAAAAAGAAAAGGAAGAUAAGGUCCUGUUUAGUUUCCCACCCAAAAUUUUUUCAUCCAUCCCAUCGAAUCUUUGGACACAUCCAUGGAACAUUAAAUGUACAUAAAAAAAUAAACUAAUUACACAGUUUGGUUGAAAAUCGCGAGACAAAUCUUUUAAGCCUAAUUACUCCAUGAUUAGUCUUAAGUGCUACAAUAACCCACAUGUGCUAAUGAUAGAUUAAUUAUACUUAAUAGAUUUGUCUUGUAGUUUCCUGACGAGCUAUGUAAUUUGUUUUUUUAUUAGUUUUUAAAAACCCCUUCUGACAUCCUUCCGACAUAUCCGAUGUGACAUCCAAAAAAUUUUCAUCUCCAAUCUAAACAGUAGAAACGAAUAAUGGGAGUCGACAAAGGCAAUAGCAUACCCUGACUGGCUACCGCUAGCAGUAGCAGCUAGAGUAGAGCCAGAGCCGCCGGACCAGCCAGAAUUGACUUGAGCACAAUGUACACGGUGCCGUAGGAUUGUGGGAAAUCCAGGAACCUUUAGUUUUUGAGAAUUUUUGCAACAAAAAAAUCAUAUCAAAUCUUAUGGCACAUGUAUGGAGCACUAAAUAUAUAAAAUAAUUAUUAAUUAUAUAUUUUAUCUGUAAUUUAUAAGAUAAAUCUUUUAAAUCUAGUUAGCCUAUGAUUAAAUAAUAUUUGUUAAAUAUAAAAAAAGGUACUUUGUUCUCUAUUUUGUAAUCUUUUUGCAACUAAACAAGGCCUGGGAAUGGAAAGCCACAGGGGCUAUCUACGCAGUGCUGGCUAUUUAAUUUCACGACGAAAUAGGAGUGGCGUCUACGAGCGAGUGAGCUUUCGUGGGUCUCCAUGGUCCUUAGGCGUUAGUUCACCCCCAAAAGUUCUAGUUUUUUUUUAAGAUUUUUUUUUUCAUAUCAAAUCUUACGGCACAAGUAUAAAGCAUUAAAUAUAGAUAAAUAAAGUAGCUAAUUAUAUAAUUUACCUAUGAUUUGAAAGAUAAAUCUUUUAAAUCUAAUUACUUAAUGAUUGGACAAUAAUUAUUAAAUACAAACAAAAAUAAUACAGUAACCAAAUUUAAAAAUUUCCGUCAACUAAAUAAGUCCUUAAUUUGCACGACCAGGAAUCCACGAUGCAGCAGCAUCGUCAAAUUCGUCACUCGUCGUCGUCAUCCUUCCACCUCUCCGAUCCGGCCAAUUCUUCGUCCCUUCCAAGGGUGACUGACCAUGGACACGGACGACGUUGGUCAACACACCGUCUCUAGUGUCUCUUGUUAAUCACUUUUUCCAAAACAAAUAUACUGAGACUUAUUUAUGUCAUAUCUUAUAUUAUGAAUAAUGUCCGGUGGCAGCGGGCGUGAUUGAGGCUGCCACAUCAUCUCUGGCAUCCCUUCAACUUAGCGGUUCUCUUCGCUGGUGGCUACCCGCGGCAGCUAGCUUAGACUGUCGUUGCUGCUUUACUCACUCCUACUAGUCACGCAAUUGUUGUUUUACUUAGACCUUGUUUACAGUUCACCCUAAAAAUAAAAAAAAAUUUCAAGAUUCUUCAUCACAUCGAAUCUUGUGGCACAUGCAUGGAGCAUUAAAUAUAAACAAAAAUAAAAACUAAUUGUACAGUCUGACUGUAAAUCACGAGAUGAAUCUUUUGAGCUUAGUUAGUCUAUGAUUAAAUAAUAUUUAUCAAAUAAAAAUGAAAAUAUUAAAAUACCAAAAUCUAAAAUAUUUUCGAAACUAAACAAGCUAGGCCUUAGAACAAAUGUUUUAGCUCCACCGAGACAGCAUGUGCCUUGUGUUAGUGUUUACCCACAUGCUUGGUGGUAGCUCGCCAUCUCGCGCUGUUUAGGCAUGUAAUACUUUUCUAAAUUUCUCUUAAUGAAAAUCGUGCCAAGCGUGUUCCUAAAAAAAAAUAUUGUUGAAGAUAUUAUAACUUUCUUUCACUAAUAGAUAUAGAAAGUUAUAAUAUCUUCAACAAAUCUAAUCAAUCAUCAAAUCUAAAAUAUAAACGUUUAAUUUGAUUAUAUUCUUAGAAAGAAAAAAACAAAUGACAUCUACAGAGAAUGCUUAGGUCUUGUUUAGUUUUAAAAAAUUAUAAAAUAAACAUUGUAGUACUUUCUUUGUAUUUGAUAAAUACUUAUCUAAUCAUGGACUAAGCAUCUCCAAAGGCUUUGGCAAAUUGACUUGGCAUUUGUUGCUAUUUGCAAACUCCCAUAACAAGAUGCAAAGGAUAAAAAUAAGUCAUCUCCAAGGGAAUUGGCAUUUGGACUUGGCAAAGGAUAAAAAUAGAAGGUCUCCAGGCGCGCGCGCUUUCCUUGCGCGUGACUUUGCUCGCGCGAUCGGGUUUGCAAAGUCGUUCACAACUUGGCAUUUUUGCCAAGUUUGCUCCCUCAUUUGCCAAGUUGUCCAAAUUGUAAACUCCAAAUGCAAAACCGUUGGAGACCUCUUUUGGAGCUUUUUGGUAAAUUACUCAAAUGCAAACCUCAAAUGCAAAACCCUUGGAGAUGCUCAAGAUCUAUACUUGCAAAUUACAGUUAAACUGCGUAAUUAGUUCAUACAUAUGCCAUAAGAUUUAAUGUAAUAAAAAAUCUAAAAAAAAUUUUAAAAAUUUUUGGAAACUAAACCAGGCCUUAGCCAUGACCAGGACCAUGCCAUGCGUUGGCACAACGAGGUAGGUGUGCCGUAGCAACCUGGGAGUAGGUAGCUAGCACACGGGCACGAGGCUACGACGACGCCGACGAAAACGAGUGACGUCGUCGUGGCAUAUGCAUUUAUAAUGCAUUUUGUCCCCAUGCAUCGAGCGCUACUGACCUUUCGUCGAUGAUCCAUAGACCAUAUGUAGAUAAAAUAUUCAGCUUAAGGACGAGACGAAUUUAUUUGGAUCACGUUUCAAUAGACCAAAAUUUGUUAAUUUAUAUGAAAAAAAUGGUUGGCGAUUGGGAAGCUCGAAUAUGUUAUACAUCCUGUGUUCAAAUUGACAAUAAUCCUUUGUCUAUCUUAAACAAAGCUAUAAUACAGUAAAGUUCUAGAGAAGCGCUAUACUAAAGUAACUCGUGCCCAGAAAACAAAGGAUUUGAUUCUAUAACAGUGCUAUACUGCUAUGCUAAAGUACGUUACUUUUAACUAAAAUGAUAUAAAAUAACUAAUAUUUAAUCAAAUAAGUAUUAGUAGAUUUAUCGUAAAUAAUCCCUUGUUUAGUUCUAAUUUUUUUUACAAAAUAGAUAUUGUAGCACUUUCAUUUGUAUUAGAUAAAUAUUGUUCAAUCAUGGACUAACUAGGUUCAAAAGAUUCGUCUUGCAAAUUAUAGGUGCAUUGUGUAAUUAAUUUUUAUUUUCAUUUACAUUUAGUGCUCUAUGCAUGCAUCUAAGAUUCGAUGUAACGUGGAAUCUGAAAAAUUUUGUAACUUUUUUUGAAAAUUAAACAAGGCCUCAAUGGGGCCUCCAAGGCAAUUACAUAUCGUGACCGCUAUCAGAGCAACAAGAAUUGACUUGGCUCUUGAGCACACCGCACGAGUCAAACUACACACUGCUCGUGUGCCAAAGGCUAGCUCGGCUCGGUUUAUUUAUAAGCUUGAUCAGUUAACUCAUUUGACUUGCAAGUCGAAGCAUAAAAAUAUAGUAUAUAGAGAUUAUAAUCAUAACAACAAACACAUCAUGUAGAUAUUUAAAAUGAAAUAGACAAAAUACAUAUAAAUUUUACAAAGGAAAAUAUAAGUAUGUGCUAUAUCAUCGAUCCACGACCACAAUCCAUCAUCAUCUGUUAAUCAAUCCCGUUCAUUCAUACAAUAUUUAAGAAUGAAGCAAAAUAAAUGAGCGAUCGACACACCAAAAGGUGCUCACAGGAAUUUAUCAUCAACAACAACAAAAAAAUGUCGGCAUGCAAUGUGUGGUCCUAUGGAGACCAAAACAGAGAAAUCAAAACUAGAGGGGGAGCAAAGGAAUCGUCUCGCAUGUAUAUGAUGCCACGAAAAAAAUUGCGGGCUAUCCAAAAAUAGCGCUGGAUGAUUCUGACCGCUAUUUUCCGCUAUAGCGCCGCUAUAGCUCCGCUAUAGCGACCGCUAUACGACGUAGCGGUCGCGCUAUGGUGCCGCUAUAGCUCCGCUAUAGCGCCGCUAUAGCCCGCUAUUUAAAUACAGCACACAUCAGAUGAAAAGUUUAAAACUAAAAUCUCACAAGUGACAAGUAACUCACAAGUCACAACCCAUACCCAUGAUCUAAUAGUCUAUUUAUUACAAUCCAAAUUCAAAAGCAAAAGACAUAAAGCCACAAGUGACAUAGUUCGAUAAGCAACUAAAAGUCUGAAACAUAAAUGAAAUGACAAGCACUAAGCACACUUCAGGCUUAGCGGAAAAAUAGCGGCGCUAUGCCGAUAUAGCGGUUUAGCGGCGCUAUAGCGGAAAAUAACGGAGAUAGCGCUGAUAGCGGAAAAAUGACUGAUAUCGUCGCGGCGUUUUAAAUAUCCCGCUAUAGCGGCGCUAUAGCGGAAAAAUAGCCCGCUAUUUUUUUUCGGUGAUAUGAUGUCAUAGGGGUAGGCCGGUGGGGUGGGGAGAGGUUGAGUCGUGGAGUCUAUUGGUUUAGGGUUUUAAUGUUAAUCAUUUUAUAGCAUAAGUAGACGGAUAUAUAGACUGAUUAAAAUUGUUGGCUUGUUAUUUAUAUGAGCUUAUUUUAGCUCAUGAGCUAGCUUACUGACUAAACCAAGCUAGAUUUUAGGUUAGUUUGUUAAAAAAUUCAAACGAGUCGAGCUGAGCUACUAAUAAGCCGAGUCAAACGAAAAAGAUACUCCCUUAACGUAUAUGACAUGAUUAUGGUAGCCAAGAAGUGAUUAAUUAGUGGUUAGUUUUUCAUGUCUACCCGUAAUAGUUAAAUAUGAUUAUGAGUGCUCUCUGUAUAAGAAAAUAAACCAACUCAGCUGGAUUGUGUGUAGAGACUAAAGCAUUGGGUCUCAGAUUCGAUCCUUAAUGGCCACUCAGCUUGUGCGUGAGCAGGCACAACGUGCACUAAGCAUGUCUGAGUUGAUCAGACCGUCAACUAAAACAGUUAAGUUAACAGGUACGGAGGGAGUACUGUUCUAAUCCAGCCCUACGUGGAGCACCGGUGACCUUUCGUCGGUGCAUGGUCUUUUAUUUUUGCACGAUGCAUCCAGCGUCAUCUUCGAUUCGUCACUCGUCAGUCGUCGCAGCACACGCAAGCAUUUGUUCCACCUUGGUGGGCUUCUCCGAUCCGACACCGUUCCAGAGGUGACCAUGGACACGUGCGUACUAGGUCAACACACCAUCUCAAAAUCACUUUUCGCGGUAUUUAUGAAAUAUGAAGUAUCCUCAAUUAAUAUUAUUAAUUAGCUUGUAGAUUAAUAGUUUCAAAAUGAACAUAGACAAUAAAAGUAAUUAAUAGUACCUUCCACGAAUAAUAUUCAGGGAGCUGACUGGAGAAUUCAAGAGAGCAUUGAUAAUUUUUCAAAAAAAGAUAAAAUACUCGGGAAAGCAAAAUGUGUACUCUCUAUAUAUCGGAUUUAGCAAACAUUUUAGACAAGAUUUAGGUCAAACAUUGCAAAUAUAAAUCAUCAACAUGCAACUUUUAAAUUGUUGAGUUUGCAAAUGUGUAAAUUAUAUGAAUAGAUUUGUCUUGAAAAUACUUUCAUAAAAAUAUAUAUAUUUCAUUUUUUCUAAAUAUUUUUUUUUAUAAAAAUACGAGGUCAAAGUUGUGUUUUGGAGACCAUGUCGCUGUCCUCAACAACUUCUAAAUCCUAUAUAGAUGGAGUACUACUGUACAUGGCAUUGUUUAGUUCCAAGAUGAAAAGUUUUUGGAUGCCACAUCAAAUAUACCGGUACACAUUUGAAUUAUUAAACACAGACUAAUAAAAGAACAAAUUACAUAGCUCGUUUGGAAAUCGUGAGACGAAUUUAUUAAGACCAAUUAAUCCUUCAUUUAGUACUUGUGGGUUACUGUCGCAGUUAUGACUAAUCAUAUGGACUAAUUAGAAUUAAAAGAUUCGCCUUGUGAUUUAUAAUUAAACUGUGCAAUUAUUUUUUUAUCUAUAUUUGAUGUUCCUGCACGUGUUUAAAGAUUUUAAUGGGAUGAGUGAAAAAAUUUUGGACGGGGAAUUAAACGAGGCCUAGUUAUUUUUGGAACUAAACAUGGAUGCCAAAAGUUUUUGAAGUUUGACAUUGUAGCACUUUCGUUUAUAUUUGAUAAUUAUUUUCUAAUCAUAGACUAAUUAGGCUUAAAAAAUUUUGUCUAGUAAAUUAUAGUCAAAUUGUGAAAUUAGUUAUUUUUUAUCUAUAUUUAAUACUCUAUGCAUGCGUAUAAAGAUUUGAUGCGAUGAAAAAUUUUGUAAAUUUUUAGAAUUUUGGGUGCACUGAGAAUGAGGCCAUUCACUCCAGAUUGACCCGUGACCGCGACGUCCGUCUACCUACGAUGAACAGUUCUACAGAUGCCCUAGCAACCUCCCUGGCACGAGGCUACGACUGCGACGACAAAAAGGAGUGACGUGGUCGUGACAUAUGCUAAUAUCUAAUCAGGCCUUGUUUAGUUCUAAAAAAUUUACAAAACGGAUACUGUAACAUUUUUGUUUAUAUUUGAUAAAUAUUGUCUAAUUAUAAACUAACUACGCUUAAAAAAUUUGUCUUGUAAAUUACAGCUAAACUAUAUAAUUAUUUAUAUAUAUAUUUAAUACUUCAUGUAUGUACUGUAAAAUUCAAUAUGACGGAGAUCUGAAACUUUUUACAAUUUUUUUUAGAAUUAAACAAGGCCUCAAUGCAUUUUGUGUUGUAGUGUACUGUAAAAUUCAAUAUGACAGAGAUCUGAAAUUUUUUUAAAAUUUUUUUUGGAAUUAAACAAGGCCUCAAUGCAUUUUGUGUUGCAGUGGUAGGCUAUGGACCAUGCAUACGCAUGCAUGGACAGGUAGGUCAACACAGCGAUAUGGACCGUUCGUAAGCCCACUAAUGAAGCACUUCGUUGUAACUACAUCAUCGGGCUCUCGUCUCGUGUGAACCAAACAAAAAUUAUAUUUAAAGCUCUGCAUUGCUGCCUGAUGUGUUGGGUAACAAUAACAAUAACAAGCCGAGUCAGAGUCAGUUAUAAGCUGAACGAGAUAACGAAUUUUGAGUUUUUGGUCCAACUUUUGUUAAGUUGCACAACCAAUGCAAGGUGAUGGCCCACUGCUGAUGUACUGAGUUGAUACGCUGCCGGUUCCAAACCGGUCUGGGUGUAUAUAUAGGCCUUGUUUAGUUGUAAAAUAUUUUGCAAAAUGUGAAUAAUAUCAAUUUCGUUUGUAUUUGAUAAAUAUUAUCUAAUCAUGAACUAACUAGGCUCAAAAGAUUCGUUUCGUCAAUUCCGACCAAACUGUGUAAUUAGUUUUUAUUUUCGUCUAUAUUUAAUACUUCAUGCAUAUGUUUAAAGAUUCGAUGUGACGGGGAAUCUGAAAAAAUUAGCAAAAUUUUUUGGGAACUAAACAAGGCCAUAAUACUGGACGUAUAUGUCAGUGUGUUGCAUAGGUAAUAAAUAUAUUUUUGUUUUGACUACAUCAAUACAUGUUGUUUAGACUAAGUUAAAGUCUAUUUUAUGAUUUUUAUCACCAAAAUUAUGUAGACCAGGAGGAAUAUUAAAGAAAAAAUAUAAAUCAAUAUGACAAAUCUAAUGAUGUUAAGACCCAAACAACCAAUGCCCAAAGCCAUGCAUGUUCUGCCGUUAGUAAGGAGGCGAUGUGGCAGCUUCACGUGUCUCUGUGCUUCGUAGGGCGUAGCAGAGCUAGCAGUCCGUCGGAUCGAGAGGUCGUAGCUCAUACGUAGUACACUGCGCGGGGCUGAACGUACAUGUUGUUGUUUUGUUGCCCUUGGCCAAUGGUGCCGAAGCUAGCCCUACCUUGUCACGUACGUACGUGUUCUAGUAGAUCAUCUUUAAGCUAGUGACAAAGCUCACGUCGAAGGUCUCCGAGUUUAAUUGUUGUCUGUGUCGCGACGCAUACCGAUCGAGUCGAUGAUCACCGGCGUGUCUGCAUUAUCAUAUGGGCACCAGUGGUGUGGUGACGACCAAACCGCUAAGGAGGUGGUGGAUCGAGACGGCCACCACCAUCAACAAGGGACAGUAGUGCCAGUGCACUGGUUAUUGAUAUAAAGUAUGUUUAUUUUUUUUUUUACAUACAUGACAUAGUACUUGAUGUUUCUGUUUCGCAAAGUGGAUCCGGACUUUAUGGGAGCGUGUUGUUGUUCUUGUUGUUGUUGUUGUUGUGAGUUUUUGGCUCUAGCUAGCAAAUUUUUUCAUGUAAAGUAUUUUCCUUUUUUUUUAACGAACUAGAUCCGGACACUAGGAGAGGUUUUUUUCCGUGCAUGUUUGCACGUGGGCAUGCAGGAUUUAGUGUGGUAUGGAUAAAGAUUAGAAACAGUACAGUGGUUUUUGUUGUCGUAUAUGUUUAGAUUUCAGAAAUGUUUUUUUUUUUUUGCCGUGAGGUUUUUUUAAGUGGCAGUAGAUUCUUUGGAGUUUGGAUGCUGCUGCUGCUUCCAUGACACGAUUUUGUUAACCAAAAUGUCGUUCGAUUUUGUUAAGACUGGGCUCAGCGCAUGCGGCACCACCUUCAGGCCCACUCACGUCUACUCCGCCUGAACCGGCCCAUAAUCCCAGUUGCGAUGAAAUUCGCCCGGCCCGCUUCAAUUCACUAAUCUUCUCUUAGUGGUGACUGGUGAGAAUUAAUCCAAGGGCGUCAGAGUUGAAAAACGUACCAUCUUCUUGAGACAUAGACAUAUAUCUUUUUUCCCUAUAAUUUGCGUGAUCUAUGUAGGGCAUGCAGAUGAUAGUCUUGCGAGAUUACUUGCUUUAACAAUUUUAGUUUUUUUCCCUCCUGGGGGAAGUUGCUAAGCACAUAAAAUUUGUUAUUGUCUUCGCACAUUUAAUUAAAGGGCCAAAAGUCUUACAAGGCUCGAUUGUGUGCGUAGGGAUAUUUGAAUUCAACAUUAUAUAUGCUCCUGCAUUCUUCUCCCUGCAGGCUGCAGGUUCAGAUUUUGAAAGGGGGUACAUGUUUAUUUGUUGGGCACCUUCCUUCACUAGCUUUUUCCUUUGAUCCAGACAUGCGUGACUUCAAUUUCUUCAUAAAACAAAGUGUUCUCGUUCUGAAUUGUGGAUUUUUUCCUCUUUAACUGAAGUUGUUGAAAGCAUGCAGUUGCUGGGUGUUUGGUCCUACUACUGCUGCUGCUACCAGCUGCAGCAGUUGGUGGUAACACAGUUUAAAUGUUGCAAAAUUUGUAGGAAAAGCCAUAUUUAUAAUGAAAUUUUGCGCAUAAUACUCUGCUGUGAAAACCAGAUCAUGAAAAUGCAGUGGUACGCUUCUCCCAAUCGGCAUAUCAAUUCCAAUUUUGUUCCAGAAUUCGACAGCAAAGUAGCACUCGCUGAUGAUGUGUUCCGGAGAUUCAGGCUGAAGGCCGCAGAUUUCACAAUCCACAACAUGCUUUAUAAUUUGAACAGGUUGGAGCGACACUGAAUUCUCCUUUUGAGUGAGUAGCCAACGUGGUGGAGCUUUGCUCUUCCAAAUGCAGAAGGGUGAUAGGCUCUUGUCAGUGCAGUCGUCCAAGAGGGAACGAACGGCCUGAAGCUCUGACAUAAUAAUCUGCUGACGAAAGAGCUUUGUUUGUGGCAACAGCAUUUUUGGACAGUGUGCCAUCCCUGACAGUGCAGUGACUGAAUAGAAUGGGGAACGUUUCCGCCAGUGCGCCGUCACCGCACCAGACAUGACAUCCAACCAGAAGAGGGUGUUUCUGCCAUUCCCGAUUUGGACAGUGUGGUAAUGGCUUUGGUACAGCGGGAGUAUAAAGCGCAGAGUUUCCCAGUGCGCACCCUGGAGCUGGAGAUCACCUUGGUUGGAUUGGAGUGUUGCCAGACAAGCUCGUUGUCUCACCCACCACUGAGCCCAAGCAGAAGAAUCUCGCGCUGCUGGUCUGCAUCGGGGUCCUGACGUUCGUGUCGCUAGCCGCGCUCGUGGCGGCGGCGCGGAUGGUCCUGACGAACCGGAGGACGACCGCGGAGCCGGACGCUCAUGGAGUGCGCGGCGAGGUGAUGAGGCACCUGAAGCAAAUUUUGCUAGGCGGUGGUACAAUAAUUUAUUUAUUUUCAUAAUGUAGAUAUUAGUGUUAUUUAUGAAAUAGAAUAGUACUAAUAGCUAUUAUCGACAAUUAAUGAUACAUAAAUUCUACUAGUUCAAGGUCAAAUGUUUUGAUUGUUGUGAAAAACUUUAGACCGAAUGCAUGUCUAAAAUAUCAUAGCUCUCAAUUGGAAGGGGGUAGUAUCAUGCCAAACUGAGACUCUGGCGGUUUUGCACACAGAAAGAGCGGCAAGCAGCUAAGGCUCACGCGCGCGUCUUUGUGUUCCUCCUCCGUUCCUACGCGAAUUGGAUAGAGUUGAGGCUGGCCUGGCCAUGUCAAAAGCUAGCACAAGAAGUCGAUCGUCGACAGAAGAUGCAUGCUCCCCGGCCGCGGCCGGCCAUUAGCUCGAAACAAAAAGCCAGAAGGCAAUGCAAGCUGCGCUAGCUGCAUGCCUGGCCUUUUGUCUAUGGCGGCGCACGGCAUGAGGAAAGUGGGCGCACGAACAGAGACGCCAUGACCACGAUGAGACAAAUUUAAAGAGGAGGACGUGUACUAUUAAUUUCUUAGCUUGUCAUCCCAAAAUUAAACAACUAGUCGCUCAUUUUCUGCAUGCAUGCAUGGUCCGGCCGCGGCCCGCGCACAACGACCGGCUAUUUCCCUUCCCCAGCGAAGCGAUAGAUCGAGCACGGAUUGGAGUCCGGCCGGCACGGCAGCGCCCGCCCGCGCGGCGCGUGCGUGUCGUCCAACUGCACUGCAUGCAUGCCAGCCCGGCCGAACGCACGGACGAUAUCGAUCGAUGGCGCUUCGCAUCACGCACACGAAACCUUGCCGUGCGGGCUGCUGGCUCUAGGCUAGCUAGCUGCAUGCCCCUGCCCGGCCCUUUAAGUACCGGAGGACGGAGCUAGCAGCAUUGGGAUCGAUCGAGGAGCAAUAUCAGUACAACCUGCAGUGCAGGUGAUAAAAAGAUCGAUAAUGGCGUUGUUGCUGUCGUCGCUGGAGGCUUUGGGGCGGAGGAGGAACGUGGCCGGUCCGCUGCUGCUGCUCAACCUCGCCCUCUACGUCUCCAUGUUGGGGUUCGCGAGCUGGGCGCUCAACACCUUCGUCGACCACGACAUAGCCGGCGCCGACCACGAAAAGGAAUACUACCCACCUGCAGGUCCGUCGUACACGUCAACUCAAUGCGUGUAGUUUUUAUAUAUCUAUAUCUAUAUACAUACUCAACUCAAUGCGUGUAGACGACGCGUGCAUGUGCAUGGGCACGCCUGCAGGAGCGGCGCCGCGCAGCGCCGGCGACGAGGCGACGCUCCACUUCAUCCAGUUCGCGCUGCUGGCCGCCGUGCUAGGAACCGCAGCCAAGGCCGCGGCGGCGUUCCACGCGCGCGCGUCGUGGCGCCCGCAGGGCCUCGCGGCCGCCGCGGCCCUGGCCACCGUCGCGUGGGCGGCCACCGCGCUCGCGCUCGGUCUCGCGUGCAAGGAGAUGCGGGCCGCCGCGGCGGCGCGCGGGUGGCGGAUGCGCGCGCUCGAGGCGCUCACCGCGACGCUGGCCGUCACGCAGCUCGCGUACGUGCUCAUGCUGCACCGCGCCGCCGCCGACUCCGACUCCGACGUCGACGCCGACACCCACGCCUACGCUGCCGCUGGCGACGACCAGUGCGAGCCUGGCUGCUCCACCGCUACCGAGGGCGACGACGUCGACUGCCAGGACCAGGACGCGCAGCAGCAGCAACAUGGCCGCCACCACCACCACCACCACAGGCAGGGCGGCGGCGGGCCCUCGUGCAAUGUCAUGUGAACUAGCUUACCAUGCUUGGUGUUGUCACUCUCUUGUCUUGUCAUUUUCCGUGCUCGUGUUUCGUCGCGUGGAAAAUAAGCAAUUUAAAGCUCAGUUUCCUGUCUCAUAUAUGUUCCUUUCCUGUCUGUCAGUAUGUGUAUGUGUUCGUGCCUGUCAGCAUGUGUAUGUGUUUGUGCUGUGUAUUGUGAUGUCCAUUUGCUGCCACGCAUGUUCCCCUUGUGCAUGGCAGUUGAUGUCAAAUUAAUAAAAGGA
Molecule: long non-coding RNA, 27949 nt
Filed under: Sorghum bicolor (sorghum)
Lineage: Eukaryota; Viridiplantae; Streptophyta; Magnoliopsida; Poales; Poaceae
Description: long non-coding RNA (SBIC_LNC005872)
Source: RNAcentral